Molecule: ribosomal RNA, 503 nt
Filed under: uncultured bacterium
Lineage: Bacteria
Description: partial 16S ribosomal RNA
Rfam family: Bacterial small subunit ribosomal RNA
Source: RNAcentral
AUUGAACGCUGGCGGUAUGCUUAACACAUGCAAGUCGGACGGCAGCAUAGUUUGUAGCAAUACGAACUGAUGGCGAGUGGCGGACGGGUGAGAAACGCGUAGGAAUCUGCCUUAUAGAGGGGGACAACUAGAGGAAACUCUAGCUAAUACCGCAUAAAGUCUAAGGACCAAAAGCUGGGGCAACCUGGCGCUAUAAGAGGAGCCUGCGUCCGAUUAGCUAGUUGGUAGGGUAAGAGCCUACCAAGGCGAUGAUCGGUAGCUGGUCUGAGAGGAUGAUCAGCCACACUGGGACUGAGACACGGCCCAGACUCCUACGGGAGGCAGCAGUGGGGAAUAUUGGACAAUGGGGGCAACCCUGAUCCAGCAAUACCGCGUGUGUGAAGAAGGCCUUCGGGUUGUAAAGCACUUUAGGUUGGGAAGAAGGUAAGUUGUUUAAGAGAUGACUUAUUUGACUGUACCAACAGAAUAAGCACCGGCUAACUCUGUGCCAGCAGCCGCCGCAG